This 206-nucleotide unclassified non-coding RNA is filed under the name Ircinia sp. QM G306067. RNAcentral's name for it is "sequence contains ITS1, 5.8S rRNA gene, ITS2". The record is from RNAcentral. Lineage: Eukaryota; Metazoa; Porifera; Demospongiae; Dictyoceratida; Irciniidae.
GUAGGUGAACCUGCGGAAGGAUCAUUAUCAAAUCCUGACCGUCGACGCUCGGAAGGCGAAGAUGGUAAAACACCGUGCACCGGCGACCGGAGACGGAGAGACGGAACGAUGGGGGUGUGCGGCCGGCCCUGAAUGGGGUGGCGCACUUGAAUCGGCGGGAAUCCGUUGCCGCCCGCCGGGCCCCGGUCGGAGCUCCUCCGUCUUUG